Molecule: long non-coding RNA, 339 nt
Filed under: Elaeis guineensis (African oil palm)
Lineage: Eukaryota; Viridiplantae; Streptophyta; Magnoliopsida; Arecales; Arecaceae
Description: long non-coding RNA (EGUI_LNC029407)
Source: RNAcentral
CUUCAGAAUUGAAGCCAUCAUUCUGAUGGAAAUUAGACUUCCGUCACACAGGGUGAAAAAUUAUGAUAACCAAAAUAAUGGGGAGUAGCUUUGUGUGAAUUGAGAUCUACUUGAAGAAAUGCAUGAGAAAGCAAGGGUGUGAAUGAUGACGUAUCAACAAAGGAUGGCAUGAUACUACAAUUCCCAUGUUUGAAGUAAAGAAUUUAAAACUGGAGACCUAGUCUUAUAGCUGGCUGAAGUCUCCCAACCUGUGGAAUGUGAAAAGUUGAGUCCUAGUUGGGAAGGCUCCUAUCAAGUGGAUGAAAUCAUCAGAGCUGGCACUUAUCACCUUAAGCAGCU